This is a long non-coding RNA of Lutra lutra (Eurasian river otter), 439 nucleotides long. RefSeq lists it as uncharacterized. NCBI's taxonomy places the organism in Eukaryota, Metazoa, Chordata, Mammalia, Carnivora, Mustelidae. The record is from RefSeq and is a predicted model, not a curated record. The transcript is spliced from 3 exons.
AUUUACAAUGGGGUUGAUACUGCUUGCAAUAGUCUCCAUUAUAUUAGUUUCCUAACUUGUCUGGUUUUUGUCUCAAAUAGUUUGGUGCCAUGACCCAGUAUCUGAACUUAUCUUCAGAUUCUCAUUUACCCUAGCCAGGUCAUAAGGCCAUUUGGAGCCUUUUGUACUCCAUCUCUGGCUGGAAGCACAGAGAUCUAAAGUUUCUUUGUAGUUUCCAUCAAGACACAGUUUGCACUGACCAUCACCAUGGCCUCCAGUUUUCAACUGGGCACCCAGAACCUAGUAUGUCUCACUGCUUGCUGCUUGUCAAGUCCACAGUGAAUGCAUACCUAAGAGGACCAAGAAAGUCAACACCUUUUUACCUUCCACCAAGGAGAAUAACAUCCCUGGGCAGUCAUGCCUCAGGGGUACACUGAAGCCGUCUACUAUUUUUCUCAGG